UGUUUGAAAUAAGCAAAUAAAUAAAUAAAUAAAUAAAUAAAUAAAAAUAAAUAAACUCAACUCAGGUCAGUCAGAGCUUUAAUGAGAUUCACUUUGAAAACCCAGACCCACAUCCAGCAGGUGGGACUCAGCAGCAGCAUCUGGACAGAUGUUCCCUCCAGGAAGAGAUUCUCUCCCCCAGCAUUUUGAUCAGGGAGGAAAUGACAGACUGUAGGAAGAAAUGUGGACUUUUUUUGGUUCUGAUUCCCAGUCAGUCUCUGAUCUGCUAGUUUGAACCUCCUGAAUUUUCCCCAUCAGAAGUUCAUGGUCUGAUGUAAACAACCAGACUUUUCUAAACUCUAUUUCAUGGACUGGAAGGAUCUUAACUUUAUUCUGACACAAAAUGUCACCAGAUGUUCUGUGUGACCCGGUGAAGGUGAAACUCCCAGCCGCUUCCAGACCUGCAGGACUUUCUCCAGGUUUGGUUCUGACUCCCAGAGGUUCUGGUUUGGACUUGUUCGGGUCACAUGUCAUCAACUUCUAGUCAGAGUCUCUUCUGAAAUAAAAUCACUUAAAAAUGAA
Xiphophorus hellerii (green swordtail) is the source of this 561-nucleotide long non-coding RNA. RefSeq lists it as uncharacterized. The record is from RefSeq and is a predicted model, not a curated record. The transcript has 2 exons. NCBI's taxonomy places the organism in Eukaryota, Metazoa, Chordata, Actinopteri, Cyprinodontiformes, Poeciliidae.